AUUUGGUUAAAACUUGAAGAAAGGGAUAAAAUGUACUAAUUGGUCUGUUCCCUAAUUAACUCUACUAAGGUUCAUGAAUGUUGGAACCAUUCAGCCUCUUCCAGAAUAUCCAUGGCCCAGCACUAGAAUGCGGUGAUGGAAAGAGGAACAUCUUUCUAAAUGUAUUUCCUGGUAUGAAAUCAUUCUUGAGUUAUAAUCUUAUCACAGCCACAAUUUUUUUAUGGAUUAUAUUUUUAUUCAAGGGCCUGUUGCUAACUGGCACGUCACUUAUAAAUGAAAAAAUUCCUCCCCCCUCAAAAAAGAAAAUCCCCUCCCCCAAAUCCAAGGCAGUUCCAUCCAUGUCCAGAUUUUACAAAUUAAAGAAAGAAAAGAUGAGUUUGGCCCCUGUGGGUACAUAUUGGGAGAGCAGGUGAAACAGGAGUUCCUGAGCUGGUUCACACAAAAUUUAGAGGCUCUGUGAACUUGGAAUCUUUCCCCUAACCUCAAACUAAAUGUGUGUCUUCCUUCAAUUAUGAAUGUAGACAACCUGUGACUGUGCCACCAAUAGAAAGAAGAUAUUUUAAUUUUACAUGAAAGUUGUCAACAGACUCUCCACUCUUAAAUGAAGCUUGUUAUUAGAUCUGCUGCAAGAUUCUAUGUAAAGCACAUGGACUACCUGAUUAUAAAUUUGUUUUAAUAUUUGGAGAAUUUUAUGCUAUUGGUUUCCUUUGUAAUCCUAUUCAUUUUACAGUAG
Molecule: long non-coding RNA, 733 nt
Filed under: Marmota monax (woodchuck)
Lineage: Eukaryota; Metazoa; Chordata; Mammalia; Rodentia; Sciuridae
Source: RNAcentral